CAGUCGCCGCGGUAAUACAGAGGGUGCGAGCGUUAAUCGGAUUUACUGGGCGUAAAGCGUGCGUAGGCGGCUUUUUAAGUCGGAUGUGAAAUCCCUGAGCUUAACUUAGGAAUUGCAUUCGAUACUGGGAAGCUAGAGUAUGGGAGAGGAUGGUAGAAUUCCAGGUGUAGCGGUGAAAUGCGUAGAGAUCUGGAGGAAUACCGAUGGCGAAGGCAGCCAUCUGGCCUAAUACUGACGCUGAGGAGCGAAAGCAUGGGGAGCGAACAGGAUUAGAUACCCCCGUAGUCCCUGUCUCUUAUAC
Molecule: ribosomal RNA, 301 nt
Filed under: uncultured bacterium
Lineage: Bacteria
Description: partial 16S ribosomal RNA
Rfam family: Bacterial small subunit ribosomal RNA
Source: RNAcentral